GAUGAAGAACGCAGCGAAAUGCGAUAAGUAAUGUGAAUUGCAGAAUUCAGUGAAUCAUCGAAUCUUUGAACGCACAUUGCGCCCGCCAGUAUUCUGGCGGGCAUGCCUGUUCGAGCGUCAUUUCAACCCUCAGGCCCCCGGGCCUGGCGUUGGGGAUCGGCGGAAGCCCCCUGUGGGCACACGCCGUCCCUCAAAUACAGUGGCGGUCCCGCCGCAGCUUCCAUUGCGUAGUAGCUAACACCUCGCAACUGGAGAGCGGCGCGGCCAUGCCGUAAAACACCCAACUUCUGAAUGUUGACCUCGAAUCAGGUAGGAAUACCCGCUGAACUUAAGCAUAUCAAUAAGCGGAGGA
RNAcentral lists this unclassified non-coding RNA (352 nucleotides) under soil metagenome. RNAcentral's name for it is "partial contains 5.8S ribosomal RNA, internal transcribed spacer 2, and large subunit ribosomal RNA". The stretch from base 1 to 120 matches the Rfam family "5.8S ribosomal RNA", at positions 35 to 154 of the family's 154-position model. The record is from RNAcentral.